AACAUUUCAUAAUAAUUCAUGGCUGAGUAUUUAUUGUACUGUCUCCGAGGAUGCAAACUUUGGACAUUGCAUCUAUUGUUUGAAUAUGGAGUUCAUUUUGUCACAGCGACCAAGAGGGCCCCAUGUCGCACAGUUUGAUUGAAUACAGUGGUAAGGAUUUCAGAAAAUAAAAGCAGAAAAUGAAAGCUCACCACGAUCAACUCACAGGUACAUUUGGCUUUAACAGCUGAAUAACUAAACUGAUCUGCAA
RNAcentral lists this long non-coding RNA (250 nucleotides) under Fukomys damarensis (Damara mole-rat). RNAcentral describes it as "lncRNA (ENSFDAG00000026630.1)". Lineage: Eukaryota; Metazoa; Chordata; Mammalia; Rodentia; Bathyergidae. The record is from RNAcentral.